GACGAACGCUGGCGGCGUGCUUAACACAUGCAAGUCGAACGGUGACCUCGGAGCUUGCUCCGGGCGAUCAGUGGCGAACGGGUGAGUAACACGUGACCAACCUGCCCCUAGCUCUGGGAUAACCCCGGGAAACCGGGGCUAAUACCGGAUACGAGACCGAGCGGCAUCACACGGUCUGGAAAGUUUUUCGGCUAGGGAUGGGGUCGCGGCCUAUCAGCUUGUUGGUGGGGUAACGGCCCACCAAGGCGACGACGGGUAGCCGGCCUGAGAGGGCGACCGGCCACACUGGGACUGAGACACGGCCCAGACUCCUACGGGAGGCAGCAGUGGGGAAUAUUGCGCAAUGGGCGAAAGCCUGACGCAGCGACGCCGCGUGAGGGAAUGAAGGCC
RNAcentral lists this ribosomal RNA (390 nucleotides) under uncultured bacterium. RNAcentral describes it as "bacterial SSU rRNA". It matches the Rfam family "Bacterial small subunit ribosomal RNA", at positions 28 to 416 of the family's 1533-position model. The record is from RNAcentral.